GACGAACGCUGGCGGCGUGCUUAACACAUGCAAGUCGAACGCUGAAGCCCUGGCUUUUGUUGGGUUGGAUGAGUGGCGAACGGGUGAGUAACACGUGAGUAACCUGCCCUCUUCUUUGGGAUAACGCCCGGAAACGGGUGCUAAUACUGGAUAUUCACUGAUCUUCGCAUGGGGGUUGGUGGAAAGGUUUGUUCUGGUGGGGGAUGGGCUCGCGGCCUAUCAGCUUGUUGGUGGGGUGAUGGCCUACCAAGGCUUUGACGGGUAGCCGGCCUGAGAGGGUGACCGGUCACAUUGGGACUGAGAUACGGCCCAGACUCCUACGGGAGGCAGCAGUGGGGAAUAUUGCACAAUGGGUGAAAGCCUGAUGCAGCGGCGCCGCGUGAGGGAUGGAGGCCUUCGGGUUGUAAACCUCUUUCGCUCAUGGUCAAGCCGCAACUGUGGGUUGUGGUGAGGGUAGUGGGUAAAGAAGCGCCGGCUAACUACGUG
This 486-nucleotide ribosomal RNA is filed under the name uncultured bacterium. RNAcentral's name for it is "partial 16S ribosomal RNA". It matches the Rfam family "Bacterial small subunit ribosomal RNA", at positions 28 to 507 of the family's 1533-position model. The record is from RNAcentral.